GGGGUUGUAUGUUGGUAUUUCGAUAUCCUACUGAUAGAGUUUGUGCAUUGGUACUUCGAUACUCUACCAGUGGAGGUUGUACAUUAGUAUUUUGAUAUCCUACCAAUAGAAGUUGUGUUGGUGUUUCGAUAAGCUAGCAGUGGAUUGUGUGCUGAUACUUUGAUACCUGCUAGUGGGGGUUAUGCAUUAAUUAGUAUUUCGAUAUCUUGGU
RNAcentral lists this long non-coding RNA (211 nucleotides) under Elaeis guineensis (African oil palm). Its description in RNAcentral is "long non-coding RNA (EGUI_LNC045670)". Lineage: Eukaryota; Viridiplantae; Streptophyta; Magnoliopsida; Arecales; Arecaceae. The record is from RNAcentral.